This 764-nucleotide long non-coding RNA is filed under the name Rattus norvegicus (Norway rat). RNAcentral's name for it is "long non-coding RNA NONRATT011501". Lineage: Eukaryota; Metazoa; Chordata; Mammalia; Rodentia; Muridae. The record is from RNAcentral.
GUCGGACAACGGGCCCGCUUUCGUCUCCCAAGUAAGUCAGUUGGUGGCCAAAUUGCUGGGGAUUGAUUGGAAAUUACAUUGUGCCUAUAGACCCCAGAGUUCAGGUCAGGUAGAACGCAUGAAUAGAACAAUUAAGGAGACUUUAUCCAAACUUGCGCUUACAACUGGCUCAAAGGAUUGGGUGGCCCUCCUUCCCCUAGUUCUAUAUCGGGCCCGGAAUACCCCGGGCCCCCAUGGUCUAACUCCUUUUAAAAUAAUAUAUGGAGCACCACCCCCAUUUGUCCAUUUCUUUGAUUCAACAUUGCUGAUUUUGCUGACAGCCCUUCUCUGAGGGCCCAUUUACAGGCCCUACAGAUUGUGCAGAGAGACGUCUGGAGACCUAUGGCCACUGCUUACCAGGACAAGCUUGAACAUCCGAUGGUGCCACACCCGUUCCAGAUUGGAGACACCGUGUGGGUGCGCAGACACCAGACCAAGAAUCUCGAGCCACGGUGGAAAGGACCCUACACCGUCCUCCUGACUACCCCGACCGCCCUAAAGGUAGACGGAGUCGCGGCUUAGAUCCACGCACCACACGUCAAGACAGUCCGGUCUGAGGAAUUGACUAAUCACAACACUACACCCCAGACAUGGAGAGUUCAGCGCACUCCAAACCCCUUAAAGUUAAAACUCCUACGUGGCUCCUCCUAGCCCUUUUGUGGCCUAGAGUCAGUGGGGGAAUAAGCCCCCACCAGACAGAAAUUUCUUGACCAAGUCGAGUGAAA